RNAcentral lists this ribosomal RNA (198 nucleotides) under uncultured bacterium. RNAcentral's name for it is "partial 16S ribosomal RNA". It matches the Rfam family "Bacterial small subunit ribosomal RNA", at positions 1303 to 1500 of the family's 1533-position model. The record is from RNAcentral.
GUCUGCAACUCGACUACAUGAAGCUGGAAUCGCUAGUAAUCGCAGAUCAGAAUGCUGCGGUGAAUACGUUCCCGGGUCUUGUACACACCGCCCGUCACACCAUGGGAGUCGGAAAUGCCCGAAGCCGGUGACCAAACCAAUAAGGAAGGAGCCGUCGAAGGCAGGUCUGAUAACUGGGUGAAGUCGUAACAAGGUAGC